This 1525-nucleotide long non-coding RNA is filed under the name Sus scrofa (pig). RNAcentral describes it as "lncRNA (ENSSSCG00015011962.1)". The record is from RNAcentral. Lineage: Eukaryota; Metazoa; Chordata; Mammalia; Artiodactyla; Suidae.
AGAGGAGCCGGAGAGGAGGCGUGCGGGUGGGGACUGCGGCGCACUCGAGUCAGCGCACGCACCUUCUCCCCCCUUUGUUUCGGGGGUCGACCGGCCGCUCUCCUCCCCAAGUCUGAAUUCUUCAGAAGGGGCGGAGGGCCGCCGAGUCUCGGCUGGGAAGAUGCCCUUGGAACUGACUCAGAGCCGGGUGCAGAAGAUCUGGAUCCCGGUCGACCACCGCCCCUCGCUGCCUAGAUCCUGUGGGCCGAAGCUCGCCAACUCGCCCACGGUGAUCGUCAUGGUGGGCCUCCCUGCCCGCGGCAAGACCUACAUCUCCAAGAAGCUGACCCGCUACCUCAACUGGAUCGGCGUCCCCACGAAAGUGUUCAACGUCGGGGAAUACCGGCGGGAGGCCGUCAAGCAGUACAGCUCCUACAAUUUCUUCCGGCCAGACAACGAGGAGGCCAUGAGAGUCCGCAAGCAGUGUGCGCUGGCUGCCCUGAGAGACGUGAAAAGUUACCUCACGAAGGAAGGGGGCCAAAUUGCGGUUUUUGAUGCCACCAACACUACUAGAGAGAGGAGACACAUGAUCCUUCACUUUGCCAAAGAAAAUGAUUUCAAGGUGUUUUUCAUUGAGUCUGUGUGCGAUGACCCUACAGUCGUGGCCUCAAACAUCAUGGAAGUGAAGCUCUCCAGCCCGGAUUACAAAGACUGCAACUCAGCAGAAGCUAUGGACGAUUUCAUGAAGAGAAUUAAUUGCUACGAAGCCAGCUACCAGCCCCUCGACCCUGACAAAUGUGACAGGGACCUGUCCCUGAUCAAGGUGAUCGACGUGGGCCGGCGGUUCCUGGUGAACAGGGUGCAGGACCAUAUCCAGAGCCGCAUCGUGUACUACCUGAUGAACAUCCACGUGCAGCCGCGCACCAUCUACCUGUGCCGGCACGGCGAGAGCGAGCACAACCUCCAGGGCAAGAUCGGAGGGGACUCGGGCCUGUCCAGCAGGGGCAGGAAGUUUGCCAGCGCCCUGAGCAAGUUCGUGGAGGAGCAGAACCUGAAGGACCUCAAGGUGUGGACCAGCCAGCUGAAGAGCACCAUCCAGACGGCCGAGGCCCUGCAGCUGCCCUACGAGCAGUGGAAGGCGCUCAACGAGAUCGACGCGGGCGUCUGUGAGGAGAUGACCUACGAGGAGAUCAGAGACACGUACCCCGAGGAGUACGCGCUGCGGGAGCAGGACAAGUACUACUACCGCUAUCCCACCGGGGAGUCCUACCAGGACCUGGUCCAGCGCUUGGAGCCGGUGAUCAUGGAGCUGGAGCGGCAGGAGAACGUGCUGGUUAUCUGCCACCAGGCUGUGCUGCGCUGCCUCCUGGCCUACUUCCUGGACAAGAGCGCAGAAGAGAUGCCAUACCUGAAGUGCCCCCUUCACGCCGUCCUGAAGCUGACGCCCGUCGCAUAUGGUUGCCGCGUAGAAUCCAUCUACCUGAAUGUGGAGUCGGUGAGCACACACCGGGAGAGGUCAGAGACUGUCAACCCAGUGCUUUGCCCG